Molecule: transfer-messenger RNA, 371 nt
Filed under: Acidobacteriota bacterium
Lineage: Bacteria; Pseudomonadati; Acidobacteriota
Also listed under: 1 other name
Description: Acidobacteria bacterium transfer-messenger RNA
Rfam family: transfer-messenger RNA
About the family: Bacterial tmRNA, also known as 10Sa RNA or SsrA, is named for its dual tRNA and mRNA-like properties. Its role is to liberate the mRNA from a stalled ribosome.
Source: RNAcentral
GGGGGCGAACCAGAUUCGACGUGAACGGUUCUCGUCCCGGUGUUGCGAGUCGAGGUCCCUGGGCCGGCCUCGUUAAAAAGCCCAGGAAAACCAAGAAGUGCGGACUCUCACGAGUUCGCUCUCGCUGCCUAAGGCAGUCUGAGAGCAGUCGCCCCGGGCCGCCCACGCCCCGGGUAGCGGCUUCAUCAUGUGGGCUCACCCGACCGGCAGCUUCCUCGGCCGGACGGGGACACCACCAGGAGGAUCUGGCGCCGGCGACGUGCCCCUCGGAUCGACCGAGCCGGAUGCCGAGAGAGACUCCGUAGGGAACGCUCGUUGACGCAUCGGGGCGUCCUUCGCGGACGCCGGGGCAGUACCGGCCGCCUCCAUCG